UACGAAGGGGGCUAGCGUUGUUCGGAAUUACUGGGCGUAAAGCGCACGUAGGCGGACUAUUAAGUCAGGGGUGAAAUCCCGGGGCUCAACCCCGGAACUGCCUUUGAUACUGGUAGUCUCGAGUCCGGAAGAGGUGAGUGGAAUUCCGAGUGUAGAGGUGAAAUUCGUAGAUAUUCGGAGGAACACCAGUGGCGAAGGCGGCUCACUGGUCCGGUACUGACGCUGAGGUGCGAAAGCGUGGGGAGCAAAC
This 250-nucleotide ribosomal RNA is filed under the name uncultured bacterium. RNAcentral's name for it is "partial 16S ribosomal RNA". It matches the Rfam family "Bacterial small subunit ribosomal RNA", at positions 524 to 773 of the family's 1533-position model. The record is from RNAcentral.